Molecule: long non-coding RNA, 772 nt
Filed under: Phasianus colchicus (ring-necked pheasant)
Lineage: Eukaryota; Metazoa; Chordata; Aves; Galliformes; Phasianidae
Description: lncRNA (ENSPCLG00000017129.1)
Source: RNAcentral
AUGCCCAAUCCCUGCUCCCAGUUCAUCCCAGUAUCUCCCAGUUCCUCCCAGUGCAUUCCCAGUAAGGCCCUACAUGCCCAAUCCCUGCUCCCAGUUCAUCCCGGUGUCUCCCAGUUCAUCCCAGUACCUUCCAGUGCCCCCCAGUCCAUCCCAGUUGCUCUCAAUUCCCUCCCAGUUCACCCCAGUUCCAUCCCAGUUCCCACCCAGUCCCUCCCAGUUACCCCCAAUUCCCUCCCAGUCCGCCCCAGUUCCCUCCCAGUCCACCCCAGUUCCAUUCCAGUUCCAUCCCAGUCCACCCCAGUUCCCACCCAGUUCCUCCCAGUUCCAUUCCAGUUCCCUCCCAGUCCCUCCCAGUUCUCCCCAUUGCCCAGACUGACACCGAGGGGCGUGGCCAAAUGAAAGGGGGCGUGGCUUAAGGAAAGGGGGCGUGGCCUAAGACAGAAGGGCGGAGCCUAAGGCCACCCUAACCAAUGAGGGGCGGAGUCUAAUACACCAAGGGGGCGUGGUCAUAAGAAGGGGGCGUGGCCAACUGACACUGGGCGGUGCUCAGUGAUUGGGUGGGGUCCGAAUGAGGGGCGUGGUCACAGCGUGUGGGCGGGGCUAAAGGGUGUGGGCGGGGCUUAAUGGGAAGACAUUUGGGGGGGUUACGUUGCGUUUUUGUAACUUUUCCCUUUUAAUUUUUUUAUUCUUUCCUUUUUUCUUCUUUUUCUGCCAUCAUUUUCUUCCACCUCUUUUCCCAUUUUGUUAUUUUGUCUGCUGGUUUUGUUUUUUG